AGGAACUGCAUUGGACAGAACUUCGCUAUGAAUGAAAUGAAAGUGUCUGUGGCAUUAACCUUGAACCGUUUCGAGCUUUUACCAGAUCUAUCUAACCCGCCUCUGAUAGUGCCCCAGCUUGUUCUACGCUCCAAAAAUGGAAUCCAUGUGUAUCUGAAAAAAGCAAGCCAAAAAUGAGGCAGUAGCCGGUGCACACUCACGGACUCCCCACUACCUCAGGCCUAAUAAAUUCUUUAAAGUAUUAUUACUGCCAUAUAGCAACACGUUUGUCAAUAAUAGAAUGGGCCCUCUUAUAUUUCAGACUCCACUCGUGGGGAUUAGUAGUUUAUAUUUGACAAUGACAUGCAAUUGCAGUACAAAUAAAAAGAAGAGGAUAAGAAGGCUUAUAACGCUAGUUAAAUAAAAGUGUAAAAAGACACACUGUUAAAACGUAAUAAAAAAGAUGGCUUAGGGUAUGUUGAACAAUAUGGCAAAUAAAUACUAUUGUCCUCUAGAGUAGUCAGAAGUUAGAACAACUGAAUGGAAACGCAGGAUUGAGUACUGCCAGUUGUAAAAUGAGGUUCCAUGCGUUAAAAAAAAAACUGUUGUAAAUUAAAACUCUACCAUCCCAAAAUAUUUUCAGAUAAAGGGUUCAUCAGAGCCAGUUAAAACCAGUCUAAGAUAGAAUUUGUUAUUAUUACAGUGUAUAGAUUGGCAUCCUGUCAAUCAGAUGCCGCUGGUAGUACAUUGAAUGUGUUAUUGACAUAUUUUUGGUCCUGAUGGCUUAGGUUGUCAGCCGGGAGUGGUCCAAAAAAUGGACUCCUCUGCUAAUUGGUCACUUUGAGUAAACAUAAUCUCUUAACCGCUUACUCUUUUCAUUUGUAUUUAAAUCUUUCGAGUUAUCAUCUUCCUAAUGGUAGCACCCAUAAUGCAUCAGGAGAGCAUAGAAGAUCUUUUACAUAACUGUAAAUGGGGUUAUGCCAAUGUGCAUAGCAGAAAUGUAAGAAAUCAAAACAGCCAACUGGAUAGCCAGAAAAUAUAGAUGUACAUCCCAGUGUAGGUCCAGUCUGGACUGAAUUCUGACUGUUGGAAGCUUUGCAAAAGUAUGAGGAAUGAACUACUACGAUGAAAAAAUAAUAAACUUUAAAAUUUUAA
This is a non-coding RNA of Pelobates cultripes (western spadefoot toad), 1134 nucleotides long. NCBI's taxonomy places the organism in Eukaryota, Metazoa, Chordata, Amphibia, Anura, Pelobatidae. The record is from the annotation of a GenBank genome assembly.